Molecule: ribosomal RNA, 489 nt
Filed under: uncultured Lachnospiraceae bacterium
Lineage: Bacteria; Bacillati; Bacillota; Clostridia; Lachnospirales; Lachnospiraceae
Description: bacterial SSU rRNA
Rfam family: Bacterial small subunit ribosomal RNA
Source: RNAcentral
AGAGUUUCGAGUCCUGGCUCAGGAUGAACGCUGGCGGCGUGCCUAACACAUGCAAGUCGAACGGACUCGGAUUGAACCUAGUGAUUCCGAGUUAGUGGCGGACGGGUGAGUAACGCGUGGAUAACCUGCCGUAUGCAGGGGAGUAACAGUUGGAACAAGCUGCUAAUACCGCAUAAGCGCACAAUACCGCAUGGUACUGUGUGAAAAGAUUUAUCGGCAUACGAUGGAUCCGCGUCCGAUUAGCCAGUUGGCGGGGUAACGGCCCACCAAAGCGACGAUCGGUAGCCGGCCUGAGAGGGUGGACGGCCACAUUGGGACUGAGACACGGCCCAAACUCCUACGGGAGGCAGCAGUGGGGAAUAUUGCACAAUGGGGGGAAACCCUGAUGCAGCGACGCCGCGUGAGUGAAGAAGUAUCUCGGUAUGUAAAGCUCUAUCAGCAGGGAAGAAAAUGACGGUACCUGACUAAGAAGCCCCGGCUAACUACGUG